This 720-nucleotide long non-coding RNA is filed under the name Agrilus planipennis (emerald ash borer). RNAcentral's name for it is "uncharacterized LOC112904613, transcript variant X1". The record is from RNAcentral. Lineage: Eukaryota; Metazoa; Arthropoda; Insecta; Coleoptera; Buprestidae.
UUGGAGCUUUACUUGGUUUUGUUUGUUGAAAAUUGCGUUUUAAUUUUCAGAUAUUGUUCAUUAAUAUUGCAUCUAAUUCGUUUUCUCUUGUUCUGUUUUACAGAUUGGCCUAUUAUUGAAAGCAUAUUGAAGUUUCCUUGGGUAUUAUUGAGUGUCCCCGAAUGGAUCGUGUACAGUGAUAUGUUCUUACUGCACUUCGUUUACCCUUGUCUUCCCCACUUGGAAAAAUUUUCUGCAUUUUUAAGAUUAUCUUAUAAGCAUGAAGUUAAUUUUUAUUCUACCCUGUGGUGUCAUUUUUCUUGGACUAUGGACAUUGGCCUGCCGUUAACAUCUUCAUUUUGCAACAUUAUCCAAUUAAUCUUCGACGAAUGAUUGAGAGAGCACCUUGAAGUUGAUUUGCAUCCCAAAUUGUCUGCAGUGGCAUCAUUCUUCCUGGAUUUGCAUUACUGUUUGCACUUGUUGACUUUGGCACAUUGUAAUUAAUUAAGAUCGCCGGUGGAGAAGAUAAAGAAGACCCCGUAGUUAAAAUACUUGUCUAUUUUGCAUGUUUUUUGUAGUUUAUUUUAUUUGAAUUAAUUUUUGAUUGUAGAUGUUGUUAUUGUUUUUAGUUGUAGUCGUUAUUACUGUACUAACACGUUUAGUUUUUUUUGGUAGUCAUAGUCUAACAUGUCUCUUGCUUACCUCUUCGCUUAGCUUACUGCAUAUUCUUCCUAAUUUGCU